Molecule: long non-coding RNA, 1819 nt
Organism: Marmota flaviventris (yellow-bellied marmot)
Lineage: Eukaryota; Metazoa; Chordata; Mammalia; Rodentia; Sciuridae
Source: RefSeq, a predicted model, not a curated record
GAUUUUAAUUUCUUGUAUUAACUUUUCUGAACUUAUUUUAAUUAGUAAGGAGGGAUCUCAGACUCCCUGGGUGCUGGGAUUCUGGUCCCUUUGGUCCAAGUGGUGAUUUUGACUGCAAAGACCCCAUCCUGACUGGGAGAGGACUGCCGUUGUCCAGUGUUGCCUAAGCAGGAAAACUGAAAAGAAAGUCUUCCUCAUCCUCAGGGACAACUGAGACUGGAACCAACUGAGGCAUCAAUAAAGAAUCUCAUCUCCUCCAGGCCAAUGUCCUUCUCUUCAGCUUGGCUCAAUCCUGUGUUCAGGAUUCACUGACUCACAGGCCCUUAGAACUCUAUGGAUCCUUUCCCUGUUUUCCCAAGCAUGCCUGCUCUUCUCUAAAAGAACCUCCUGUGGCAUCCAGACCAAGAAUCCAAUGGGCCAAGAUCCAUAAUACAAACAAGAGAAGACAUCUGGGUGUGGGGUAUAGGCUCCUGUGACCAGAGGACCAGGACCCCACGUGAUCAAAGGGGAUCUGUGUUCAACAGCUUUCUUAGUGAUACAGAACCAAUGAGAUGUAUACAUAAGGAGAUUUACGAUGGAAAUUGCUUAUUGCUUAAUCCCAGAAGGUCCAUCAUCUGCUGUCUGUAAGAUAGAGAUUAGGAAAGCUAGGAGUUCAAUUAGUCUGAGUCUGGAGACCUGAGAACCAAGCCUAUGUCUGAGGGCAGGAGAAAGUGGAUGUCCCAGCUUAAGAAGAGAAAGAGAGAGAAAAAAGAGAGAGAGGGAGGGAGAGAAAGAAAGAAAGAGAGGGAGAAUUUCCCCUUCCUUUCUCUGUUCUGUUGGAGCCCUCAGUAGAUGAGAUGAUGCUGCCCGCACUGGUGAGGGUGGAUCUUCUUUACUUGGUUUACCAAUUCAAAUACUAAUACCUUCCAGAAACACCUUCACACACACACACACACACACACACACACACACACACACACUCAGGGCUGUCUGGGCAGCCCUGAGCUCAGUCAAGUUAACAGACAAAAUUAGUUAUCACGGGAUCUAAGCUCCACUUAGCUCUAACCAGUCAGAUCAUUCCGAAAGAAGCACACAGUGUUGCCAGCUAUUCUGCUCUUACUAGAGAAGCUGGAAGUGUUUUAAAGUAAGAUGUAGUGCAAUUAAAAAAAAAUAAUAACACAAGACAUGUCCAAUUACAAAAGUCUGUGGGUCAGAUGUUUUCUGUAGCUGCUAGUGAGCUACCCGUGGGUAUAGGCAAAAUUAUCUAGACCUUUAUCCCCUUCUACUGUGUAUCUAACACCUAGAACACUUAGCUAUGUGUUCAUUCAUCAACAACUUCUGAAUUGGUAAGAUGUAGGGUGCUGGGGAGAAUGGGUAACUAAGACCCAACACACUCAUAAGUAAGGAAUGCAGUGGAGUGUGAGGAUGCUUGCUUCCACAGCACCCACAUAGAAUUCCAUCAUGGCAUUUGGCACCCUGGCCAGAAGGUCAUGAUUUCUUGGGCUGUCUUCUCAACUGCCUGGAACCAUGUCCUUUAGGUCUGUAGAUCCAGUAUCUUACAUAGUCUGGCACAUCAUAGUGGCUCCAGAAAAGCAAUUGACAAUUGAGUGAAUCACCCACUGACAGUCAUUCAGAGCUGUGAAAGCAAAAGAAGGGGUCCUUGGCCUCUAUCUGUAGCUCUCCCUCAAUUCUGAUUUUAUAAGAUCAUUUCAUCAAAAAAGCUAAUGUCAAUUGUUUCACAUUAGACUUCUUCAUGUAUACCCUCUGUUAGGUGCAGGACAGGCUGAGUAAGCUGUCUGCAGGGCAUGCCAAACAAAGUUAGCUGCAGGAUGAGCUGGCU